CAUAGGUUAAUGAGGCGAACCGGGGGAACUGAAACAUCUAAGUACCCCGAGGAAAAGAAAUCAACCGAGAUUCCCCCAGUAGCGGCGAGCGAACGGGGAGCAGCCCAGAGCCUGAAUCAGUGUGUGUGUUAGUGGAAGCGUCUGGAAAGGCGCGCGAUACAGGGUGACAGCCCCGUACACAAAAAUGCACAUGCUGUGAGCUCGAUGAGUAGGGCGGGACACGUGGUAUCCUGUCUGAAUAUGGGGGGACCAUCCUCCAAGGCUAAAUACUCCUGACUGACCGAUAGUGAACCAGUACCGUGAGGGAAAGGCGAAAAGAACCCCGGCGAGGGGAGUGAAAAAGAACCUGAAACCGUGUACGUACAAGCAGUGGGAGCCUCUUUAUGGGGUGACUGCGUACCUUUUGUAUAAUGGGUCAGCGACUUAUAUUCUGUAGCAAGGUUAACCGAAUAGGGGAGCCGAAGGGAAACCGAGUCUUAACUGGGCGUUAAGUUGCAGGGUAUAGACCCGAAACCCGGUGAUCUAGCCAUGGGCAGGUUGAAGGUUGGGUAACACUAACUGGAGGACCGAACCGACUAAUGUUGAAAAAUUAGCGGAUGACUUGUGGCUGGGGGUGAAAGGCCAAUCAAACCGGGAGAUAGCUGGUUCUCCCCGAAAGCUAUUUAGGUAGCGCCUCGUGAAUUCAUCUCCGGGGGUAGAGCACUGUUUCGGCAAGGGGGUCAUCCCGACUUACCAACCCGAUGCAAACUGCGAAUACCGGAGAAUGUUAUCACGGGAGACACACGGCGGGUGCUAACGUCCGUCGUGAAGAGGGAAACAACCCAGACCGCCAGCUAAGGUCCCAAAGUCAUGGUUAAGUGGGAAACGAUGUGGGAAGGCCCAGACAGCCAGGAUGUUGGCUUAGAAGCAGCCAUCAUUUAAAGAAAGCGUAAUAGCUCACUGGUCGAGUCGGCCUGCGCGGAAGAUGUAACGGGGCUAAACCAUGCACCGAAGCUGCGGCAGCGACGCUUAUGCGUUGUUGGGUAGGGGAGCGUUCUGUAAGCCUGUGAAGGUGUGCUGUGAGGCAUGCUGGAGGUAUCAGAAGUGCGAAUGCUGACAUAAGUAACGAUAAAGCGGGUGAAAAGCCCGCUCGCCGGAAGACCAAGGGUUCCUGUCCAACGUUAAUCGGGGCAGGGUGAGUCGACCCCUAAGGCGAGGCCGAAAGGCGUAGUCGAUGGGAAACAGGUUAAUAUUCCUGUACUUGGUGUUACUGCGAAGGGGGGACGGAGAAGGCUAUGUUGGCCGGGCGACGGUUGUCCCGGUUUAAGCGUGUAGGCUGGUUUUCCAGGCAAAUCCGGAAAAUCAAGGCUGAGGCGUGAUGACGAGGCACUACGGUGCUGAAGCAACAAAUGCCCUGCUUCCAGGAAAAGCCUCUAAGCAUCAGGUAACAUCAAAUCGUACCCCAAACCGACACAGGUGGUCAGGUAGAGAAUACCAAGGCGCUUGAGAGAACUCGGGUGAAGGAACUAGGCAAAAUGGUGCCGUAACUUCGGGAGAAGGCACGCUGAUAUGUAGGUGAGGUCCCUCGCGGAUGGAGCUGAAAUCAGUCGAAGAUACCAGCUGGCUGCAACUGUUUAUUAAAAACACAGCACUGUGCAAACACGAAAGUGGACGUAUACGGUGUGACGCCUGCCCGGUGCCGGAAGGUUAAUUGAUGGGGUUAGCGGUAACGCGAAGCUCUUGAUCGAAGCCCCGGUAAACGGCGGCCGUAACUAUAACGGUCCUAAGGUAGCGAAAUUCCUUGUCGGGUAAGUUCCGACCUGCACGAAUGGCGUAAUGAUGGCCAGGCUGUCUCCACCCGAGACUCAGUGAAAUUGAACUCGCUGUGAAGAUGCAGUGUACCCGCGGCAAGACGGAAAGACCCCGUGAACCUUUACUAUAGCUUGACACUGAACAUUGAGCCUUGAUGUGUAGGAUAGGUGGGAGGCUUUGAAGUGUGGACGCCAGUCUGCAUGGAGCCGACCUUGAAAUACCACCCUUUAAUGUUUGAUGUUCUAACGUUGACCCGUAAUCCGGGUUGCGGACAGUGUCUGGUGGGUAGUUUGACUGGGGCGGUCUCCUCCUAAAGAGUAACGGAGGAGCACGAAGGUUGGCUAAUCCUGGUCGGACAUCAGGAGGUUAGUGCAAUGGCAUAAGCCAGCUUGACUGCGAGCGUGACGGCGCGAGCAGGUGCGAAAGCAGGUCAUAGUGAUCCGGUGGUUCUGAAUGGAAGGGCCAUCGCUCAACGGAUAAAAGGUACUCCGGGGAUAACAGGCUGAUACCGCCCAAGAGUUCAUAUCGACGGCGGUGUUUGGCACCUCGAUGUCGGCUCAUCACAUCCUGGGGCUGAAGUAGGUCCCAAGGGUAUGGCUGUUCGCCAUUUAAAGUGGUACGCGAGCUGGGUUUAGAACGUCGUGAGACAGUUCGGUCCCUAUCUGCCGUGGGCGCUGGAGAACUGAGGGGGGCUGCUCCUAGUACGAGAGGACCGGAGUGGACGCAUCACUGGUGUUCGGGUUGUCAUGCCAAUGGCACUGCCCGGUAGCUAAAUGCGGAAGAGAUAAGUGCUGAAAGCAUCUAAGCACGAAACUUGCCCCGAGAUGAGUUCUCCCUGACUCCUUGAGAGUCCUGAAGGAACGUUGAAGACGACGACGUUGAUAGGCCGGGUGUGUAAGCGCAGCGAUGCGUUGAGCUAACCGGUACUAAUGAACCGUGAGGCUUAACCUUACAACGCCGAAG
This 2754-nucleotide ribosomal RNA is filed under the name Escherichia coli. Its description in RNAcentral is "partial 23S ribosomal RNA". It matches the Rfam family "Bacterial large subunit ribosomal RNA". The record is from RNAcentral. Lineage: Bacteria; Pseudomonadati; Pseudomonadota; Gammaproteobacteria; Enterobacterales; Enterobacteriaceae.